GAUGAACGCUGGCGGCGUGCCUAAUACAUGCAAGUCGAGCGAACAGACGAGGAGCUUGCUCCUCUGACGUUAGCGGCGGACGGGUGAGUAACACGUGGAUAACCUACCUAUAAGACUGGGAUAACUUCGGGAAACCGGAGCUAAUACCGGAUAAUAUAUUGAACCGCAUGGUCCAAUAGUGAAAGACGGUUUUGCUGUCACUGAUAGAUGGAUCCGCGCCGCAUCAGCUAGUUGGUAAGGUAACGGCUUACCAAGGCAACGAGGCGUAGCCGACCUGAGAGGGUGAUCGGCCACACUGGAACUGGAACACGGUCCAGACUCCUACGGGAGGCGGCAGUGGGGAGUCUACCGCAAUGGGCGAAGGCCUGACGGAGCAACGCCGCGUGAGUGAUGAAGGUCUUCGGAUCGUAAAGCUCUGUUAUUAGGGAAGAACAAAUGUGUAAGUAACUAUGCACGUCUUGACGGUACCUAAUCAGAAAGCCACGGCUAACUACGUG
This 497-nucleotide ribosomal RNA is filed under the name uncultured bacterium. Its description in RNAcentral is "partial 16S ribosomal RNA". It matches the Rfam family "Bacterial small subunit ribosomal RNA", at positions 28 to 507 of the family's 1533-position model. The record is from RNAcentral.